RNAcentral lists this long non-coding RNA (205 nucleotides) under Elaeis guineensis (African oil palm). RNAcentral's name for it is "long non-coding RNA (EGUI_LNC055784)". The record is from RNAcentral. Lineage: Eukaryota; Viridiplantae; Streptophyta; Magnoliopsida; Arecales; Arecaceae.
AAUAGACUCAUAGACCCUCCAUGAAAGAUGGUUAAAAAAAUUAGAGCUGAACAACACUAUCUCUCUAAUUCUUCCUUUGUUCCCACAUUAAAACAUUCUCCCUAACUUAAGCAUUAGAGACCUAGUUGGAGUAAAGCUCCGAUAAGUUCUCUGACCUCUUUAUUAUCUUGUAGAUUGAUAAAAGUAGCUUACUUCUAGGAUUCAA